Molecule: small nucleolar RNA, 101 nt
Filed under: Scleropages formosus (Asian bonytongue)
Lineage: Eukaryota; Metazoa; Chordata; Actinopteri; Osteoglossiformes; Osteoglossidae
Description: Small nucleolar RNA U3 (ENSSFOG00015026181.1)
Rfam family: Small nucleolar RNA U3
About the family: Small nucleolar RNAs (snoRNAs) are involved in the processing and modification of rRNA in the nucleolus.
Source: RNAcentral
AAGCGGGUGUCUGACGCUGAGCUUUCAGCUGUUGUUCAUCUUUGAUGAUCGUUCUGCCUUCCCAUGGGUUGAGCAGAGGGAGAAAGGGCUGUCUGAGUGGU